This 524-nucleotide ribosomal RNA is filed under the name Bifidobacterium breve. RNAcentral's name for it is "bacterial SSU rRNA". It matches the Rfam family "Bacterial small subunit ribosomal RNA", at positions 156 to 690 of the family's 1533-position model. The record is from RNAcentral. Lineage: Bacteria; Bacillati; Actinomycetota; Actinomycetes; Bifidobacteriales; Bifidobacteriaceae.
ACGGGUGGUAAUGCCGGAUGCUCCAUCACACUGCAUGGUGUGUUGGGAAAGCCUUUGCGGCAUGGGAUGGGGUCGCGUCCUAUCAGCUUGAUGGCGGGGUAACGGCCCACCAUGGCUUCGACGGGUAGCCGGCCUGAGAGGGCGACCGGCCACAUUGGGACUGAGAUACGGCCCAGACUCCUACGGGAGGCAGCAGUGGGGAAUAUUGCACAAUGGGCGCAAGCCUGAUGCAGCGACGCCGCGUGAGGGAUGGAGGCCUUCGGGUUGUAAACCUCUUUUGUUAGGGAGCAAGGCACUUUGUGUUGAGUGUACCUUUCGAAUAAGCACCGGCUAACUACGUGCCAGCAGCCGCGGUAAUACGUAGGGUGCAAGCGUUAUCCGGAAUUAUUGGGCGUAAAGGGCUCGUAGGCGGUUCGUCGCGUCCGGUGUGAAAGUCCAUCGCUUAACGGUGGAUCCGCGCCGGGUACGGGCGGGCUUGAGUGCGGUAGGGGAGACUGGAAUUCCCGGUGUAACGGUGGAAUGUG